GUGCUCGCUUUGGCAGCACAUAUAAUAAAAUUGGAAUGAUACAGAGAAGAUUAGCAUGGCACCUGCGCAUGGAUGACACGCAAAUUCACAAAGCGUUCCAUAUUUUA
Molecule: small nuclear RNA, 107 nt
Organism: Molossus molossus (Pallas's mastiff bat)
Lineage: Eukaryota; Metazoa; Chordata; Mammalia; Chiroptera; Molossidae
Source: RefSeq, a predicted model, not a curated record